UACGUAGGGUGCAAGCGUUAAUCGGAAUUACUGGGCGUAAAGCGUGCGCAGGCGGUUGUGCAAGACCGAUGUGAAAUCCCCGGGCUUAACCCUGGGAAUGGCAUUGGUGACUGCACGGCUAGAGUGUGUCAGAGGGGGGUAGAAUUCCACGUGUAGCAGUGAAAUGCGUAGAGAUGUGGAGGAAUACCGAUGGCGAAGGCAGCCCCCUGGGAUAACACUGACGCUCAUGCACGAAAGCGUGGGGAGCAAACAGG
Molecule: ribosomal RNA, 254 nt
Filed under: uncultured bacterium
Lineage: Bacteria
Description: partial 16S ribosomal RNA
Rfam family: Bacterial small subunit ribosomal RNA
Source: RNAcentral